AACAUCUCCUUCUUCCAACCGCCUGCUCUUCUCAUGAUUGGCAUCCCAGGGCUGGAGGCCGUUCAUGGCUGGCUCGCCAUCCCUUUCUCCUCCAUGUACACUGUGGCCCUCACUGGGAACUGCCUGAUCCUCCUGGCUGUGAAGAGGACCCCCAGCCUGCACCAGCCCAUGUGCUACUUCCUGUCCAUGCUGGCGCUCCCCAAAGCGGGCCUCACCUUGUCCACACUGCCCAUCACCUUGGCUGUGCUCUGGUUUGACCAUCGGCUCAUGGGCUUCAAUGCCUGCCUGGUCCAGAUAUUCUUCCUGCACUCCUCUGUGGUGGAGUCCUCAGUGCUCCUGGCCAUAUCCUUUGACCACUUUGUGGCCAUCUCCAACCCCCUGCACUAUGCAGCUGUCCUCACAAAUAGUGUCAUCAUCAGGAUUGGGCUGGCCAUUGUGGCUCAAGUUACCUUGUGCCUCUUCCUGUGCCAUUUCUGGUUAAGUGUCUAAAUUUCCGCCCUGGUGAUGACAUCCUAUCCCACUCGUUCUGUUUCCACCCUGAUGUAAUGAGGCGGGCCUGUGCUGACAUCACGAUCAAUGUAUGCUAUGGGCUCUACGUGGUUGUUUCUACAGGGGGCGUAGACUUGCUGCUCAUCUUUCUGCCCUAUACCUUCAUCCUGCACACAGUCAUGGGUCUGGCUGCUCCCAGGGAGCGCAUCCGGGCCCUCAAUACCUGUGUUUCCCACAUUCUGGCUGUCUUUGUCUUCUUUAUUCCAGGUAUCACCGUGUCCAUGAUCCACCAUUUUGGGAGGCACCUGCCCCACAUUGUACAUGCUCUUGUUACCUAUGUGUACCUGGUGAUGCCUUCUGUGCUCCACCCCAUCAUUUACAGUAUGAAGUCCAAGCCCAUCAGGGAGGCCAUCCUCAGGAUG
This 911-nucleotide small RNA is filed under the name Pan troglodytes (chimpanzee). RNAcentral's name for it is "unitary pseudogene". Lineage: Eukaryota; Metazoa; Chordata; Mammalia; Primates; Hominidae. The record is from RNAcentral.